UACGAAGGGGGCUAGCGUUGUUCGGAAUUACUGGGCGUAAAGCGCGCGCAGGCGGCCUUUCAAGUCAGUGGUGAAAGCCCGGAGCUCAACUCCGGAACUGCCAUUGAAACUGUUUGGCUUGAGUACGAGAGAGGUGAGUGGAAUUCCCAGUGUAGAGGUGAAAUUCGUAGAUAUUGGGAAGAACACCGGUGGCGAAGGCGGCUCACUGGCUCGUUACUGACGCUCAGGCGCGACAGCGUGGGGAUCAAACAGG
Molecule: ribosomal RNA, 253 nt
Filed under: uncultured bacterium
Lineage: Bacteria
Description: partial 16S ribosomal RNA
Rfam family: Bacterial small subunit ribosomal RNA
Source: RNAcentral